Pantoea dispersa is the source of this 72-nucleotide non-coding RNA. The record is from Rfam. Lineage: Bacteria; Pseudomonadati; Pseudomonadota; Gammaproteobacteria; Enterobacterales; Erwiniaceae.
GCAGCAACGUGGUGUGUUGCUGGCGCAUUCGCGGUUGCGAGUGGGUUAACUGAUAGAAGGAUGAUAUCGAUG